GUCAGCCCAGAAUUAGGACCUAAGGUUGGCCCUAUGGGUUCCUGCAGCACAGACGUGCAGCAUGUGCACCCACAUGUACACACAAUCAGGCAUAGCCACAGAGAAUCACACCCUCCCACGCACACCCACACCCACACACCCUCCCACAGGCACACGCGCACCCUCACACUCAUGGUCUCGCCCUCCCACAGGCACACCUACACUCACCCACGCCUACAGGCACACAAGCACACACUCCUUUCCCCCCACAAUCCCUGCACACCCGUGGGCACCUAUGCUCUCGUGUGGUCUGGAUCUGCCCUCUGUGUGCACAGCCUGUGCCUGGCCCAGCGUGAGUGACUCGUGGAUGCUCUGCAGGUGAGACCUGAGGCAGAGCAAUGUCUGGUUCCUGCUGUUUCUUCUGAUGGGCGCGGCGGUGACUGAGGGUGUCCUGCGAGCCGUCGGUGAGCGCUCAGCUGUCCUGGUCUGCAAGUUCCUACUGACAUCACAACCUGCUGCUUCUCUCUGUCCUUAAGGGUCAGAAGAUGGAGAAAAGGUUCAUGUUUCCACCCCUGUAUUCUGUUAGGUUCGGGUUUUUGAGAGAGGCUUGUGGGGAAGGGGCCGUGUCCCCACUCCUUCCUUUCUUCUUGUACACAUAUUUACAUCCACUGAUUGAGUGAUUUACAAUCACUCAACAUGAUUGACGGAACUUCUGGCACUGCGGAAGCUGUGCUAAGGCCUGGGCAUUCAUGGGACAUGGAGCGUGCAAGAGCUGAAGUUUUAAUGACUUGCUUGCAGAAAAAGAUCAAGUUUUACAACAGAAAAUUAUGGGGCAUAAUUUCUAUUGUGGCAAGGGACCAGGGCCGUCUCCUGGAGGAAAUCUGGAGAGAACAUGCCACAGCCAGG
Molecule: long non-coding RNA, 885 nt
Filed under: Homo sapiens (human)
Lineage: Eukaryota; Metazoa; Chordata; Mammalia; Primates; Hominidae
Description: HSALNT0117457
Source: RNAcentral